ACAUUUGAGUGAGUGGCGAACUGGUGAGUAACACGUGGGAAACCUGCCCAGAAGCGGGGGAUAACACCUGGAAACAGAUGCUAAUACCGCAUAACAACUUGGACCGCAUGGUCCGAGUUUGAAAGAUGGCUUCGGCUAUCACUUUUGGAUGGUCCCGCGGCGUAUUAGCUAGAUGGUGAGGUAACGGCUCACCAUGGCAAUGAUACGUAGCCGACCUGAGAGGGUAAUCGGCCACAUUGGGACUGAGACACGGCCCAAACUCCAACGGGAGGCAGCAGUAGGGAAUCUUCCACAAUGGACGAAAGUCUGAUGGAGCAACGCCGCGUGAGUGAAGAAGGGUUUCGGCUCGUAAAACUCUGUUGUUAAAGAAGAACAUAUCUGAGAGUAACUGUUCAGGUAUUGACGGUAUUUAACCAGAAAGCCACGGCUAACUACGUGCCAGCAGCCGCGGUAAUACGUAGGUGGCAAGCGUUGUCCGGAUUUAUUGGGCGUAAAGCGAGCGCAGGCGGUUUUUUAAGUCUGAUGUGAAAGCCUUCGGCUCAACCGAAGAAGUGCAUCGGAAACUGGGAA
This 570-nucleotide ribosomal RNA is filed under the name Lactiplantibacillus paraplantarum. Its description in RNAcentral is "bacterial SSU rRNA". It matches the Rfam family "Bacterial small subunit ribosomal RNA", at positions 83 to 639 of the family's 1533-position model. Lineage: Bacteria; Bacillati; Bacillota; Bacilli; Lactobacillales; Lactobacillaceae. The record is from RNAcentral.